Molecule: ribosomal RNA, 497 nt
Filed under: uncultured bacterium
Lineage: Bacteria
Description: partial 16S ribosomal RNA
Rfam family: Bacterial small subunit ribosomal RNA
Source: RNAcentral
GAUGAACGCUGGCGGCGUGCCUAAUACAUGCAAGUCGAGCGAACGGACGAGAAGCUUGCUUCUCUGAUGUUAGCGGCGGACGGGUGAGUAACACGUGGAUAACCUACCUAUAAGACUGGGAUAACUUCGGGAAACCGGAGCUAAUACCGGAUAAUAUUUUGAACCGCAUGGUUCAAAAGUGAAAGACGGUCUUGCUGUCACUUAUAGAUGGAUCCGCGCUGCAUUAGCUAGUUGGUAAGGUAACGGCUUACCAAGGCAACGAUGCAUAGCCGACCUGAGAGAGUGAUCGGCCACACUGGAACUGAGACACGAUCCAGACUCCUACGGGAGGCAGCAGUAGGGAAUCUUCCGCAAUGGGCGAAAGCCUGACGGAGCAACGCCGCGUGAGUGAUGAAGGUCUUCGGAUCGUAAAACUCUGUUAUUAGGGAAGAACAUAUGUGUAAGUAACUGUGCACAUCUUGACGGUACCUAAUCAGAAAGCCACGGCUAACUACGUG